RNAcentral lists this ribosomal RNA (403 nucleotides) under uncultured bacterium. Its description in RNAcentral is "bacterial SSU rRNA". It matches the Rfam family "Bacterial small subunit ribosomal RNA", at positions 355 to 774 of the family's 1533-position model. The record is from RNAcentral.
UGAGGGAUAUUGGUCAAUGGGCGCAAGCCUGAACCAGCGACGCCGCGUGGGAGAAGAAGGUCUUCGGAUCGUAAAGCCCUUUUCCCACUGAAGAGGAAGGACGGUAGGUGGGGAAGAAGUCUCGGCUAACUACGUGCCAGCAGCCGCGGUAAAACGUAGGAGACAAGCGUUAUCCGGAGUUACUGGGCGUAAAGGGCGUGCAGGUGGCGUCUUAAGUCUGUUGUGAAAGCGCCUGGCUUAACCGGGCGAGGCCAAUGGAGACUGAGAGGCUGGAGGACGGCGGAGGGGUGUGGAAUUCCGGGUGUAGUGGUGAAAUGCGUAGAGAUCCGGAGGAACACCAGAGGCGAAGGCGGCACUCUAAGCCGUACCUGACACUGAGACGCGACAGCACGGGGAGCAAACG